This is a long non-coding RNA of Helianthus annuus (common sunflower), 391 nucleotides long. RefSeq lists it as uncharacterized. Lineage: Eukaryota; Viridiplantae; Streptophyta; Magnoliopsida; Asterales; Asteraceae. The record is from RefSeq and is a predicted model, not a curated record. The transcript has 2 exons.
AAUCAAAUGGAGAAAGAAGAUUCAGAUCAAAUGGCAGAGACUACUACCACCACAGAAGAACAAAAAACCAACAAGAAAGAGACCCAGAAUGCAAUUCUCUACAUCAGCCACUUCUGAAGCAAAACCGGACACUUUCUUCAAGUCCACUAGCUCUUGUUGGCACCAAAGUUUCGUAUAUCGAAAGCUUGGAUUACGAGAUCAAUGAGAAUGAUCUGUUCAAGCAUGACUGGAGAAUCAGAUCACAAGCUCAAGUGUUGCAGUAUGUAUUCUUAAAAUGGUUAUUGGCUUUCCUAGUUGGGCUUUUGACAGGUGUCAUAGCCACUCUCAUCAAUCUUGCAGUAGAGAAUAUUACAGGAUACAAACUACUGGCUGUAACCCACUACAUAGAAAG